RNAcentral lists this ribosomal RNA (523 nucleotides) under uncultured bacterium. RNAcentral describes it as "bacterial SSU rRNA". It matches the Rfam family "Bacterial small subunit ribosomal RNA", at positions 144 to 667 of the family's 1533-position model. The record is from RNAcentral.
AACUCUGGAGAAAUUCAGGUUAAUACUGCAUAAUCCCGCAAGGGGAAAGGUGGCCUCAAGCUACCGCACAAGGAUGAGCCUAUGGUCUAUUAGCUAGUUGGUGAGGUAAAGGCUUACCAAGGCGAAGAUGGAUAACCGGCCUGAGAGGGUGUACGGUCACACUGGAACUGAGACACGGUCCAGACUCCUACGGGAGGCAGCAGUGGGGAAUAUUGCACAAUGGGCGAAAGCCUGAUGCAGCGACGCCGCGUGGAGGAUGAAGGUUUUCGGAUUGUAAACUCCUGUUAAGUGGGAAGAAAGACUCAUACCUAAUACGUAUGGGGGAUGACGGUACCACUAGAGAAAGCACCGGCAAACUUCGUGCCAGCAGCCGCGGUAAUACGAAGGGUGCUAGCGUUAUUCGGAAUGACUGGGCGUAAAGAGCGUACAGGCGGUUUGUUAAGUCAACUGUUAAAUCACUCAGCUUAACUGGGUAUCUGCAGAUGAAACUGGCGAACUAGAGUGCAGGAGAGAAAGGUAGAAU